RNAcentral lists this ribosomal RNA (613 nucleotides) under uncultured Alphaproteobacteria bacterium. Its description in RNAcentral is "bacterial SSU rRNA". It matches the Rfam family "Bacterial small subunit ribosomal RNA", at positions 1 to 663 of the family's 1533-position model. The record is from RNAcentral. Lineage: Bacteria; Pseudomonadati; Pseudomonadota; Alphaproteobacteria.
GCCCUUAGAGUUUGAUCCUGGCUCAGAACGAACGCUGGCGGCAGGCUUAACACAUGCAAGUCGAACGAAGCCUUCGGGCUUAGUGGCGGACGGGUGAGUAACGCGUGGGAACGUGCCCUUUGCUACGGGAUAGUCCUGGGAAACUGGGUUUAAUACCGUAUGGUGUCUACGGACUAAAGAUUUAUCGGCAAAGGAUCGGCCCGCGUUGGAUUAGGUAGUUGGUGGGGUAAAGGCCUACCAAGCCGACGAUCCAUAGCUGGUUUGAGAGGAUGAUCAGCCACACUGGGACUGAGACACGGCCCAGACCCCUACGGGAGGCAGCAGUGGGGAAUCUUAGACAAUGGGGGCAACCCUGAUCUAGCCAUGCCGCGUGAUCGAUGAAGGCCUUAGGGUUGUAAAGAUCUUUCGCUGGGGAAGAUAAUGACGGUACCCAGUAAAGAAGCCCCGGCUAACUCCGUGCCAGCAGCCGCGGUAAUACGGAGGGGGCUAGCGUUGUUCGGAAUUACUGGGCGUAAAGCGCGCGUAGGCGGAUUGGAAAGUUGGGGGUGAAAUCCCGGGGCUCACCUCGGAACUGCCUCCAAACUAUCAGUCUUGAGUUCGAGAGAGGUGAGUG